Molecule: unclassified non-coding RNA, 188 nt
Filed under: uncultured cyanobacterium
Lineage: Bacteria; Bacillati; Cyanobacteriota
Description: partial 16S-23S ribosomal RNA intergenic spacer
Source: RNAcentral
CGGUUCGAGUCCGCUUACCUCCACUGAUCAACUACCUGAUAACUCAGUAUGGAGAUUGUUAUUUGUUUAAUGUGAUUUAGAUGUUGUUCAACUGAAGGAACCUAGCUUCCUGUCACUCCUGAAUUCAUUUUAGGCUGAUAAGACGCUGGGCUCACUGAGUAUUCUUUGAAUAUUCAGUUUUUUCAGCA